RNAcentral lists this small RNA (1100 nucleotides) under Trichoderma harzianum. RNAcentral describes it as "eukaryotic LSU rRNA". The stretch from base 513 to 1100 matches the Rfam family "Eukaryotic large subunit ribosomal RNA", at positions 1 to 604 of the family's 3401-position model. Lineage: Eukaryota; Fungi; Ascomycota; Sordariomycetes; Hypocreales; Hypocreaceae. The record is from RNAcentral.
CAAUGUGAACGUUACCAAACUGUUGCCUCGGCGGGAUCUCUGCCCCGGGUGCGUCGCAGCCCCGGACCAAGGCGCCCGCCGGAGGACCAACCUAAAACUCUUAUUGUAUACCCCCUCGCGGGUUUUUUUUAUAAUCUGAGCCUUCUCGGCGCCUCUCGUAGGCGUUUCGAAAAUGAAUCAAAACUUUCAACAACGGAUCUCUUGGUUCUGGCAUCGAUGAAGAACGCAGCGAAAUGCGAUAAGUAAUGUGAAUUGCAGAAUUCAGUGAAUCAUCGAAUCUUUGAACGCACAUUGCGCCCGCCAGUAUUCUGGCGGGCAUGCCUGUCCGAGCGUCAUUUCAACCCUCGAACCCCUCCGGGGGGUCGGCGUUGGGGAUCGGCCCUCCCUCUGCGGGUGGCCGUCUCCGAAAUACAGUGGCGGUCUCGCCGCAGCCUCUCCUGCGCAGUAGUUUGCACACUCGCAUCGGGAGCGCGGCGCGUCCACAGCCGUUAAACACCCAACUUCUGAAAUGUUGACCUCGGAUCAGGUAGGAAUACCCGCUGAACUUAAGCAUAUCAAUAAGCGGAGGAAAAGAAACCAACAGGGAUUGCCCCAGUAACGGCGAGUGAAGCGGCAACAGCUCAAAUUUGAAAUCUGGUCCCUAGGGCCCGAGUUGUAAUUUGUAGAGGAUGCUUUUGGUGAGGUGCCGCCCGAGUUCCCUGGAACGGGACGCCACAGAGGGUGAGAGCCCCGUCUGGCUGGCCGCCGAGCCUCUGUAAAGCUCCUUCGACGAGUCGAGUAGUUUGGGAAUGCUGCUCAAAAUGGGAAGGUAUAUGUCUUCUAAAGCUAAAUAUUGGCCAGAGACCGAUAGCGCACAAGUAGAGUGAUCGAAAGAUGAAAAGCACCUUGAAAAGAGGGUUAAAUAGUACGUGAAAUUGUUGAAAGGGAAGCGCUUGUGACCAGACUUGGGCGCGGCGGAUCCAUCCGGGGGUUCUCUCCGGUGCACUUCGCCGCGUCUAGGCCAGCAUCAGUUCGUCCCCGGGGGGAAAAAGGUUUCGGGAACGUGCUCCCUCCCGGGAAGGGUUAAAGCCCGUUGCAAAAAACCCUGCGGGGGGACUGAG